This is a microRNA precursor of Arabis alpina (gray rockcress), 120 nucleotides long. It matches the Rfam family "mir-166 microRNA precursor family". Rfam says of the family: This family represents the plant microRNA (miRNA) precursor mir-166. Animal miRNAs are transcribed as ~70nt precursors and subsequently processed by the Dicer enzyme to give a ~22nt product. Lineage: Eukaryota; Viridiplantae; Streptophyta; Magnoliopsida; Brassicales; Brassicaceae. The record is from Rfam.
GUUGAGGGGAAUGUUGUCUGGCACGAGGAUAUCAUCAUAUGAUUACAUAAUCUCGUAGGUUAUAAUCGAAUGUAAAUAUAUAUGCAUGAAAUCGUCGGACCAGGCUUCAUCCCUCUCAAC